CUCAAGGCAGCUCUCUCAAGGAGCCCAGCAGCUCGAGCUCAGGAGCAUGGUCUGAGCCUGGCAGCUGCUUCCAUCACACAAAGCAAUAGGACAAUGUUGCAAAAGGAUCUGCAAGAGAGGCAAUUCCAUCCAGGCCAACUUGAAGGAAAGACUUUGUCAAGAUCAUUUUGAAAAUGAAACGUGACUUCCUCUUUUGUUUUGUUUUGUUUUCAGGUCAAGAAAUGAGAAGGAUGCCAAGCUGAGCACAGUCCCUGGAGGCUUCUGCAGGAUCACAUGUCUCUGCAGAAAUGCCAUUUUAACUGAUGGCCGGGCGUGGUGACUCACAAAGUGCUGCAAUCCCAGCACUUUGGGAAGCCAAGGCGGAUCACUUGAGGUCAGAAGUUCGAGACCAGCCUGUCCAACAUGGUGAAACCCCAUCUCUACUAAAAAUACAAAAAUUAGCCAGACAUGGUGGUGCAUGCCUGUAGUCCUAGCUACUCGGGAGGGUGACGCAGGAGAAUCACUUGAACCUGGGAGGCGGAGGUUGACGUGAGCCAAGAUCAUACCACUACACUCCAGCCUGGACGACAGAGCAAGACCCUGUUUUGUUUUGUUUUUUUCCUUUUUUAAAAAAAAAAAAAAAACCUCACUCAAAUAAGACAAGUAUUUAGUAAACUUCCCAUAACAUCUUUUCUAACUGAAAUAGGGCUAUGUUAGGGCUAUGUCAUGUUGUUGCUGCACUUUAUGGUUUUUCAGGACUCAGUGGGCAUUAGGGAUGGUGUGAAAGAGACAUGCUCUCAUGUUUCCUGCCUGGAGGAGAAGGAUCCUCAGAGAGCCUCAGCAGGUGGUAGCAGCAGGAACUGCUGAAGGCCAGAGUGAGAGCCCAGAGGGAGGAGAAAGACAAAAACUGGUUGGAAACCUGUGCAAGAAGCAGGUAAACCUCCAGAUCUUCACCAUCAGCCUGCACAGCCCAAAUGUUGCCAUCUCUUAGCCUGGCAGAAGAUGGGAGAUUUAGUCUCUGAACAAAUUAGACAAGUAAGCUCUGGAAACAGGAAUAGUAGGCACAGCUAUGAGCAGGAGAGAGACACUGCACUGAACACAGGGGCACUAGGUAAGUCCUUAUAAUGAAUGGUGGGCUUCGCACCUCUUCAUCGCCUUAGAGAACUCUUAGGAAAGUGGCAGUCAGGUUUACAGCUCCCAGCCUGGAAACUAAAGAGCUCCUCUCUCAGAUAGGCCCAAGCAGGGGGAAUAAAACACCUAUAGAUGUUGAAGUUUCAUCUCCAACAAAUGAUCCCGAUUCCUACCUGAGCAUCCUAUAGUGGCACCCAGAAAUCAAGGAACCCCUCCUCAACACAGCUAUUCCGUUCAACCUGUGAGUACUUCAACCUUUAAAAGGAUGACUUGUGGGUAUCUAGGACUUGAGGAAAGUCUUAGAGAAAUGUAGAAGAAAAAGAAAAUUUUAAACAUAUUUAAUAUAAGAGAUAUAACAAAGAAUGGAACAAGAUUGAAAGCUAUGAAACAAGAAUAGGGUGCUGUUUGGCCAGGCGUGGUGGCUCACGCCUGUAAUCCCAGCACUUUGGGAGGCCGAGGCGGGUGGAUCACCUGAGGUCAGGAGUUCAAGACCAGCCUGGCCAACAUGGUGAAACCCUGUCUCUACUAAAAAUACAAAAAUUAGCUGGGCAUAGUGGCAGACGCCUGUAAUCCCAGCUGCUCGGGAGGCUCAGGCAGAAGAAUCACUUGAACCCGGGAAGCAGAGGUUGCAGUGAGCUGAGAUCGCACCAUUGCACCCUAGCCUGGGCGAUAAGAGCAAAAAAAAAAAACACACAAAACAAAAAAAACCCAAAAGGUGCUAUUUAAGAAAGAGUCAGAAAUAAGUCUUGAAAAAUUAAAAAUAUGCUAGCAGAAUAUUUUUGUAAAUUGAAAGGAGGCUGGGUGUGGUGCCUCAUGCCUGUAAUUCCAACACUUUGGGAGGCCAAGGUGAGCAGAUAGCUUGAGCUCAGGAGUUCAAGACCAGCUUGGGCAACAUAGUGAAACUCCAUCUCUACAAAGUAAAAAAAUAAAUAAAAUUGAAAGGAUUAGAAUAGAAAGGUCUUUAAAAAUCUCCCAAUAAUAUAUAACAAGAAGAAAAGGAGAUAAGAAAUCAAAGGCAAAAAUAUAAGAAAAUUAUACAAUCAAUCCAAGAGGUAAAAGAGAUAGGUAGUAGGACUCCUGAAAAAGAGAAACAAAGAGGCCAG
RNAcentral lists this long non-coding RNA (2213 nucleotides) under Homo sapiens (human). RNAcentral describes it as "HSALNT0134237". The stretch from base 1519 to 1635 matches the Rfam family "Metazoan signal recognition particle RNA". Lineage: Eukaryota; Metazoa; Chordata; Mammalia; Primates; Hominidae. The record is from RNAcentral.